AUAAUGCUAGGAAACUGCCCAGUAGUGGGGGAUAGCCCGGGGAAACCCGGAUUAAUACCGCAUACGCCCUUCGGGGGAAAGCAGGGGAUCUUCGGACCUUGCGCUAUUGGAUGUGCCUAUGUCGGAUUAGCUAGUUGGUGGGGUAAAGGCCUACCAAGGCGACGAUCCGUAGCUGGUCUGAGAGGAUGAUCAGCCACAUCGGGACUGAGACACGGCCCGAACUCCUACGGGAGGCAGCAGUGGGGAAUAUUGGACAAUGGGGGCAACCCUGAUCCAGCCAUGCCGCGUGUGUGAAGAAGGCUUUCGGGUUGUAAAGCACUUUCAGCGAGGAGGAAAACCUGGCGAUUAAUACUCGUCAGGCUUGACGUUACUCGCAGAAGAAGCACCGGCUAACUCCGUGCCAGCAGCCGCGGUAAUACGGAGGGUGCAAGCGUUAAUCGGAAUUUACUGGGCGUAAAGCGCCGCGUAGGCGGGUUUUGAUAAGCGGGAUGUGAAAGCCCCCGGGC
RNAcentral lists this ribosomal RNA (506 nucleotides) under bacterium. RNAcentral describes it as "bacterial SSU rRNA". It matches the Rfam family "Bacterial small subunit ribosomal RNA", at positions 110 to 609 of the family's 1533-position model. The record is from RNAcentral.